GAGGGUAUAGCUCAAGCAGUAGAGUGUGUGCUUAGCAUGCACAAGGUCCUGGGUUCAAUCCCCAGUACCGCCU
Transfer RNA from Camelus ferus (Wild Bactrian camel), 73 nucleotides. It matches the Rfam family "tRNA". Rfam says of the family: Transfer RNA (tRNA) molecules are approximately 80 nucleotides in length. Their secondary structure includes four short double-helical elements and three loops (D, anti-codon, and T loops). Lineage: Eukaryota; Metazoa; Chordata; Mammalia; Artiodactyla; Camelidae. The record is from Rfam.